GCUAUUGGAGUUCGAUUAAGCCAUGCGAGUCGAGAGUCUUAGGGACUCGGCGUACCGCUCAGUAACACGUGGGUAACCUGCCCUAUGCUGGGGAAUAACCUCGGGAAACUGAGAAUAAUGCCCCAUAGUCCACAAUGCCUGGAACGGUUUGUGGAUCAAAGCUCCGGCGGCAUAGGAUGGGCCUGCGGCGUAUCAGGUUGUAGGGGGUGUAACGUACCCUCUAGCCAUCAACGCGUACGGGUGUUGGGAGACAUAGCCCGGAGAUGGAUUCUGAGACACGAAUCCAGACCCUACGGGGUGCAGCAGGCGCGAAAACUUGGCAAUGCGAGAAAUCGUGACCAGGGAACUCCAAGUGGCUGGGGUAAGACCCAGUCUUUUCUUGACUCUUCAAAGGUCUUGGAAUAAGGGGUGGGUAAGGACGGUGCCAGCCGCCGCGGAAUACCGGCGCCUCAAGUGGUAGUCGAUUUUAUUGGGCCUAAAACGUCCGUAGCCUGUUUUGGYACAUUCGUGGGUAAAUCAACCAGCUCAACUGGUUGAAAUUCUGCGAGCACGGCCAGACUUGGGGACCGGGAGAGGUGKGGGGUACGCUCAGGGUAGGGGUAAAAUCCUGUCAUCCUGAGCKGACCACCUGUUGCGAAGGCGCCACACUARAACGGAUCCSACGGUCAGGGACGAAGCCUAGGGGCACGAACCGGAUUAGAUACCCGGGUAGUCCUAGGUGUAAACGCUGUGGACUUGGUGUUGGGGACUCUCCGAGAUUCCUCAGUGCCGAAGCGAAGGUGAUAAGUCCACUGCCUGGGGAGUACGGUCGCAAGGCUGAAACUUAAAGGAAUUGGCGGGGGAGCACCGC
This 850-nucleotide ribosomal RNA is filed under the name uncultured archaeon. Its description in RNAcentral is "bacterial SSU rRNA". It matches the Rfam family "Archaeal small subunit ribosomal RNA", at positions 29 to 882 of the family's 1478-position model. The record is from RNAcentral.